CUAGGGUGUUAUGAUAACACAUGGAAACAUUGUAGCCACUGCUGCAGCAGCUAUAACAGUCAUUCCAGAACUAAAUAGCAAAGAUGUCUACUUGGCGUACUUGCCCCUGGCUCACGUUUUUGAAUUGGCAGCUAAGUCUGUCAUGGUGGCUACGGGAUGUAGAAUUGGUUAUGGUUCCCCAUUGAUUUUAACAGACAUAUCAAACAAAAUUAAGAAGGGAACCAAGGGAAAUGCUUCUGAAUUAAAGCCAACUCUCAUGGCAGCAGUUCCUGCUAUAUUGGAUCGUGUUCGAGAUGGAGUACUGAAAAAGUUGAGGAUACUGGGGGUCUAGCGAAGACUCUUUUUACAUUUGCAUAUACACGUCGACUGGCAGCUGUAGAAGGAAGCUGGUUUGGGGCUUAGGGACUGGAAAAAAUGCUGUGGGAUUUAAUCAUCUUUAAGAAAAUACGCUCUGUACUUGGAGGAGAUAUUAGAUUUAUGCUCUGUGGUGGAGCUCCUUUAUCUGUGGAUUCACAACACUUCAUCAAUAUCUGCAUGGGGGCUCCUAUUGACCAAGGAUAUGGCUUGACAGAAACUUUUGCUGGAGCUGCUUUUUCUGAGGCAGAUGACACAGCAGUGGGCCGUGUAGGGCCACCCCUUCCUUGUUGCUACAUUAAGGUAUAUUAAGAGUUGAUCAUUUAUGCGUUAAUUUCAUCUAAUAUAAAUAUUCAACUGAUUGCUUUUUGACAUAGUGGUUAUAUAAUAUUUUGUAUUGAUUGCUUUUAGCCAGGUCUUAAUGAGAAAUUAAAAUGCAUGAAGCAACAUGCUUUUAGAUCAGUUCACUUAAUAUUAUUGACUUCGAUUUAAAAGGAAUGAUUUCUUUUUUCUUAUUAUUUUUAAAAUAGAUUUUGGGAGAUGAAAAGAGUGGAAAUGGAUUAUGCAAACAAUGAUAUUCUUGGAAAAGCAGUUGAGAAGAGUCUUAGCAGCAUUCUAGCAAGUGAGUUUUAUUUAAAGACGCGUGUUAGAUUUAAAAUUGUUCAAAAAUCUUAUUAUUUGCAUAGCUUGAUAUGGUAAAUAACUUAAAUGUAUUGAAAACUAUAUUUUAUGUUAUAAGAGAAUUUGAAAACUAAUAUUGGUGGGGCUUUAGUAUGAUUUAUGCUUACUUAGUUGUGGCAGAGGAAUUGGUUCGUAGUAAUUAGUUGGAGGAUGCCAAUAGGGUUCUCUUGUGGGGUGGUGGUUUAUUCUUGUCCCAUGUGCCUUUUUUUUAAUUUUUUUUAUGGAAUAUACGUGUACAAGUAAUGUUAGCAUUUUCUUUUUCAUAAGUUGAUGCAAUGUCUUGAGAUUAUUCCUUUUAAGGUUGAGGACUUCAGCUGUAGUUGUCUGAGUUAUGAUUGAUGUUUACAAUAGUGAUUGUAUAUAAUUGCUGCAUAUAUAACAUGUUCAGUUACGUUUUAAUUGUAGUCAUAAGGUUUCUUGUUCUACUGAUUUUCUUUAAUGAUUAAGAUAAUAUAUAAUGUAUUUUCUUAGAUAUGCAUAUACAUGAACUGUUCUAAUAGGUGAUAAUAAAUAAAGCAAUCUACAUUUGUUUUGAUAUGAGUUUUUGCUGCUAAACCAUCUAAGGGCUUCUCUUUUCUUCACUCCAUCCCACUCUUGUUGAAUUUGAUUGUUGGUCUGUUUAAUCAAAGAGGUGUUCUCUGCAUUUUCUUUUCUACUUGGCUAUUAUUAGUAUUCAUUGAAAGGCUUAUAUGGGAAUAAAAUUGGUCUCAAGAGUCAAGAUAGUCCAUGGUGGUAAAGCAACUGUAUAUGAACCUAUCAUUUUUAAUAUCUAUUUCCACUGAACCAUUGAUAAUGAACCAAUAUCACUCUUCUUCAUUGGCUGUAAUAGCUUUUGGGGAAUGUGGGUCCUUGUGUGUUUUCUUGACCCUGUUUUUAUUUUUGUUACCUUUUGGGGAACUGAGGCAUUUAUAAAGGGAUCUCAUAUUUUCAUCUCAGUUAGGUUUGGUUCAUUUGGCUUUUUUUUCACUUUCAAGGUAUUCAUUAUUGUAGAGAAAAUGCUCAAGAUAGAACAAACAUUCAUGGAUUUAUCAUUUCCCUUAUUUGUAUUGAUAAUAAAUCUGAUUUUUUUCAUCCUUUUAAAUUGGAAUACAAACUGUUUUUGGUUUUUUGUUCUUUCUAUGUGUGUUGUGUCUGCUUUUCUUUUUAUUGUUGGUUUUAUUUCAAACUGUUGCAUUAUUGUUGGCCUUUGCUAUUAGUUUUUCUGCUGCUUUUGCUGCCUCUUGUCGUUGUAUUUAAGAUUUUUGUUGUUCUUUUUAUUUUGUGAGCUCUAGUUUCCAAGGACUCUAUAGUGGGUUUGGAUAGUUUCUUGGUUGUAAGAGUUGUAAUUUUUUUUAAUGAUGACUCCUAAUUAAAGGUUGAAUGAUGUUGAUAGUUUAUUAAUUGGUAUGCAAUUUUUCUUUCAUUUUAGUGGCUUCAUUG
Humulus lupulus (European hop) is the source of this 2454-nucleotide long non-coding RNA. RefSeq lists it as uncharacterized. The record is from RefSeq and is a predicted model, not a curated record. NCBI's taxonomy places the organism in Eukaryota, Viridiplantae, Streptophyta, Magnoliopsida, Rosales, Cannabaceae. The transcript has 4 exons.